GCUUUAUCCUCUAUUUUACUCAUACUUACUCCAUAAGUUACUAAAUGAACAUCAUGUGAUGAAGACUUGAAACUAGAGAUUGAGACAUGAACUCAUCAGGAAAAUGUUACUGAGGAAAUAAUUCAAGAGAGAAGAAGAAACAUUUUCUCAUAGAUUUCUAUACAACCAGAAGAGUCGCCUCCUGCUGGAUGUUACAGAGGAGUCUCCUGCUGGAUGUUACAGAGGAGUCUCCUCCUGCUGGAUGUUACAGAGGAGUCUCCUGCUGCUGGAUGUUACAGAGGAGUCUCCUGCUGGAUGUUACAGAGGAGUCUCCUGCUGGAUGUUACAGAGGAGUCUCCUGCUGGAUGUUACAGAGGAGUCUCCUGCUGGAUGUUACAGAGGAGUCUCCUGCUGGAUGUUACAGAGGAGUCUCCUGCUGGAUGUUACAGAGGAGUCUCCUGCUGGAUGUUACAGAGGAGUCUCCUGCUGGAUGUUACAGAGGAGUCUCCUGCUGCUGGAUGUUACAGAGGAGUCUCCUCCUGCUGGAUGUUACAGAGGAGUCUCCUCCUGCUGGAUGUUACAGAGGAGUCUCCUGCUGCUGGAUGUUACAGAGGAGUCUCCUCCUGCUGGAUGUUACAGAGGAGUCUCCUGCUGCUGGAUGUUACAGAGGAGUCUCCUCCUGCUGGAUGUUACAGAGGAGUCUCCUGCUGCUGGAUGUUACAGAGGAGUCUCCUGCUGGAUGUUACAGAGGAGUCUCCUCCUGCUGGAUGUUACAGAGGAGUCUCCUCCUGCUGGAUGUUACAAAGGAGUCUCCUGCUGGAUGUUACAGAGGAGUCUCCUGCUAGAUGUUACAGAGGAGUCUCCUGCUGCUGGAUGUUACAGAGGAGUCUCCUCCUGCUGGAUGUUACAGAGGAGUCUCCUGCUGGAUGUUACAGAGGAGUCUCCUGCUGCUGGAUGUUACAGAGGAGUCUCCUGCUGGAUGUUACAGAGGAGUCUCCUCCUGCUGGAUGUUACAGAGGAGUCUCCUCCUGCUGGAUGUUACAGAGGAGUCUCCUCCUGCUGGAUGUUACAGAGGAGUCUCCUGCUGCUGGAUGUUACAGAGGAGUCUCCUGCUGGAUGUUACAGAGGAGUCUCCUCCUGCUGGAUGUUACAGAGGAGUCUCCUGCUGCUGGAUGUUACAGAGGAGUCUCCUGCUGGAUGUUACAGAGGAGUCUCCUGCUGGAUGUUACAGAGGAGUCUCCUGCUGGAUGUUACAGAGGAGUCUCCUCCUGCUGGAUGUUACAGAGGAGUCUCCUCCUGCUGGAUGUUACAGAGGAGUCUCCUCCUGGAUGUUACAGAGGAGUCUCCUGCUGGAUGUUACAGAGGAGUCUCCUCCUGUUGGAUGUUACAGAGGAGUCUCCUGCUGCUGGAUGUUACAGAGGAGUCUCCUCCUGCUGGAUGUUACAGAGGAGUCUCCUGCUGCUGGAUGUUACAGAGGAGUCUCCUCCUGCUGGAUGUUACAGAGGAGUCUCCUCCUGCUGGAUGUUACAGAGGAGUCUCCUGCUGGAUGUUACAGAGGAGUCUCCUCCUGUUGGAUGUUACAGAGGAGUCUCCUGCUGCUGGAUGUUACAGAGGAGUCUCCUCCUGCUGGAUGUUACAGAGGAGUCUCCUGCUGGAUGUUACAGAGGAGUCUCCUCCUGCUGGAUGUUACAGAGGAGUCUCCUGCUGCUGGAUGUUACAGAGGAGUCUCCUCCUGCUGGAUGUUACAGAGGAGUCUCCUGCUGGAUGUUACAGAGGAGUCUCCUCCUGCUGGAUGUUACAGAGGAGUCUCCUGCUGGAUGUUACAGAGGAGUCUCCUCCUGCUGGAUGUUACAGAGGAGUCUCCUGCUGCUGGAUGUUACAGAGGAGUCUCCUGCUGCUGGAUGUUACAGAGGAGGCACCUCCUGCUGGAUGUUACAGAGGAGUCUCCUGCUGCUGGAUGUUACAGAGGAGUCUCCUGCUGCUGGAUGUUACAGAGGAGUCUCCUGCUGCUGGAUGUUACAGAGGAGUCUCCUCCUGCUGGAUGUUACAGAGGAGUCUCCUGCUGCUGGAUGUUACAGAGGAGGCACCUCCUGCUGGAUGUUACAGAGGAGUCUCCUCCUGCUGGAUGUUACAGAGGAGGCACCUCCUGCUGGAUGUUACAGAGGAGUCUCCUCCUGCUGGAUGUUACAGAGGAGUCUCCUCCUGCUGGAUGUUACAGAGGAGUCUCCUGCUGGAUGUUACAGAGGAGUCUCCUGCUGCUGGAUGUUACAGAGGAGUCUCCUCCUGCUGGAUGUUACAGAGGAGUCUCCUCCUGCUGGAUGUUACAGAGGAGUCUCCUGCUGCUGGAUGUUACAGAGGAGUCUCCUCCUGCUGGAUGUUACAGAGGAGUCUCCUGCUGCUGGAUGUUACAGAGGAGUCUCCUCCUGCUGGAUGUUACAGAGGAGUCUCCUGCUGCUGGAUGUUACAGAGGAGUCUCCUCCUACUG
Molecule: long non-coding RNA, 2464 nt
Organism: Cottoperca gobio
Lineage: Eukaryota; Metazoa; Chordata; Actinopteri; Perciformes; Bovichtidae
Source: Ensembl